UGAAAAAGCUUAAAGAAGAAGGAAGAGUUGCAACGAAUGACAAGGGUCUCUAAAGCUGAUGUUGGCAGAAGUGCAGCUGAAGUGAACAUGUACCCAUGUAGAGUUGAGAAUUCAGCUGGGUUCCACGAAACAUUUAUAUUUGCAGAGAGUUGAACUGGAUUUUAGCUACCCAAUUCCCAUUUUGCCUUGUCUCUUUGAAAAUUUUCUAGGGCAUGUCAUGGAGGACAUUGCUAUUUGUCUCCAGAUGAAAUUAGCGUGGACACUAGAAGUGAAUGUGGAGCUGCUCUACUAUCCUCUCGGAGGUAUGAUGCAAAAGUUAUCACCACCACACUGUCAUGCACCCAUUUAUACAGCAGAACAGAAGAGAAAACUCAAGAAUGCCUGAUAUUGUGAAAAGUGUCAGUUUAGCUUAGCUAGCUACAGUGAUGUGUGUUAGUGGAUUAAAGCAACCUACUAGAAUUCAGCACAAAACCUCUGCUAAAUUAUCAGUAUAAUAUUGGGAUGUACUGCAUUGAAUAAAAUAUGGUGGGUGUGCUGCA
RNAcentral lists this long non-coding RNA (539 nucleotides) under Chrysemys picta bellii (western painted turtle). RNAcentral's name for it is "lncRNA (ENSCPBG00000026655.1)". The record is from RNAcentral. Lineage: Eukaryota; Metazoa; Chordata; Testudines; Emydidae.